UAAAACGUAGGAGGCGAGCGUUAUCCGGAUUUACUGGGCGUAAAGCGCGUGUAGGCGGUUUGGCAAGUUGGAUGUGAAAGCUCCCGGCUUAACUGGGAGAGGUCGUUCAAUACUGCCAGACUAGAGGACAGUAGAGGAAGGUGGAAUUCCGGGUGUAGUGGUGAAAUGCGUAGAUAUCCGGAGGAACACCAGUGGCGAAAGCGGCCUUCUGGACUGUAUCUGACGCUCAGACGCGAAAGCUAAGGGAGCAAACGGGAUUAGAGACCCCGGUAGUCUUAGCUGUAAACGAUGUAGACUUGGCGUUGGUGGGUUUAAAUCCAUCAGUGCCGAAGCAAACGCGAUAAGUCUACCGCCUGGGGACUACGGCCGCAAGGUUAAAACUCAAAGGAAUUGACGG
RNAcentral lists this ribosomal RNA (397 nucleotides) under uncultured bacterium. RNAcentral describes it as "bacterial SSU rRNA". It matches the Rfam family "Bacterial small subunit ribosomal RNA", at positions 521 to 916 of the family's 1533-position model. The record is from RNAcentral.